AGUGAACGCUGGCGGUAGGCCUAACACAUGCAAGUCGAACGGCAGCACAGUAAGAGCUUGCUCUUACGGGUGGCGAGUGGCGGACGGGUGAGGAAUACAUCGGAAUCUACUUUUUCGUGGGGGAUAACGUAGGGAAACUUACGCUAAUACCGCAUACGACCUACGGGUGAAAGCAGGGGAUCUUCGGACCUUGCGCGAUUGAAUGAGCCGAUGUCGGAUUAGCUAGUUGGCGGGGUAAAGGCCCACCAAGGCGACGAUCCGUAGCUGGUCUGAGAGGAUGAUCAGCCACACUGGAACUGAGACACGGUCCAGACUCCCACGGGAGGUAGCAGUGGGGAAUAUUGGACAAUGGGCGCAAGCCUGAUCCAGCCAUACCGCGUGGGUGAAGAAGGCCUUCGGGUUGUAAAGCCCUUUUGUUGGGAAAGAAAAGCAGCAGGUUAAUACCCCGCUGUUCUGACGGUACCCAAAGAAUAAGCACCGGCUAACUUCGUG
RNAcentral lists this ribosomal RNA (492 nucleotides) under uncultured bacterium. RNAcentral's name for it is "partial 16S ribosomal RNA". It matches the Rfam family "Bacterial small subunit ribosomal RNA", at positions 29 to 507 of the family's 1533-position model. The record is from RNAcentral.